CAGAAGGCCUUCCUAGAGCUGUGCAAUGCCGAGCUCGUCGAGAUGCGGAGACUGGAGGAGAAGGACAGGAGAUACAGGGAGAAGAAGGUGUGGCAAAUGCAGCAGCAGAAGGAGGUGCAGGAGUUAGAAGCCGACACAUCACAGAGGGUGGCUGCGUGUGCCUUCGCUCGGGGAUAUCUUUCAGACCUAGUGCACUCUGUCUUCUCUUGUCUGACCGACAGCGGCUAUUUCUAAAAACCCAUGGACUCAAUCAUACGGGAUGUCUUAAAGAGAGAAUUUGAGAAGCUGGAGGCUGCUAAUCUCGUUGAUGGACUGUAGAUGCCAACACUGUUGUGCAACUGUAAAUACAUGGGAGUUAUGUGGAGUGCUGAUGGGUGAAUGCCUUGUGAACCUGUGAUUGAGCUUGAAAAUACAAGUGUCUCUUCCUUUUUUUAUAGUGAAAUCGAAUAAUGAUGUCAAGGUGUUAUAAAACGAGAAGUUAUUUUACGUAUUCAAAGAAUAAACCAAAUAGAUGGUUUAUCUGGUUAUUCCGUCUGCCGACAACCCUGGUUGGCAGUUAUAAUUUGUCUACUAAUAACCCUCUACCCAUGGAAAUAUUACUACCCAAUAGAAUUGGUAAUCUACCCACAUUCCAUUCCAUGUAAUGUCUAGAUCACAUCUAUCCUACAAAAAGACUAGACCAUGUAGAAGUAGGGUUUAUAUUACUAUAAACAAGCUAGACAGCUUUUUUACACAGUUAUUACUAAGCUUUACUAGGCUGUGUUACUUUCAUGUAAACUGCUAUUACUACUGUCAUUCGCAAUAUAUACAGUUACUAUAUAGUGCAACGACAUUUUAUUUCGUCUUCAAAAAACCUGCUACAUCACUAGAUAAAUGUAGUAUUGCGUGGCAUGCACCGUGCAGCCAGUUUCAUUUGAUUAUUUUUCCUUCAUCUGUCUUAUUAUUUAGAAUUUGCCAGUGUGCGCCCUGGUUUAAAAAUACGUUUUAAUACUGGUGCCUUGUAGGUUUACUUACUUACUUACAUUACUUAAUACACUGCAGACGUGUUCUCUACACAUUAUGAGGUUAAGCUGGUCACUUAUGAGCAACCAUAGUGAGAAAACUACGCACCUAUUACCAGGAAUGAAUAAUGACAGACUGUCAUUAUUCGCCCUGCUAUUACUACACGCAUUCUGACAGAUUAAGCUGAGCUUAAGGUGACGCGUGACUUCAUUUCCAUCACCCUGUGCGCAAAGUUCUUUGAGUUCAUGUUGUUAUUUUACAAUAUAUAGAAAGUUAGAAUAUUUUACUGCCACAUGAAGUAGACCUCUCAUUUGUCAAACAAUGUCUUUUUAGUAAAUGCUAUCAUAUCAUAAUGAAAUGACAGUGUCAGUGUCUGGUUUAAGAUGUGUUAUAUAUUUGCUAGGUACUGUACUAGCUAAAAAAUAAAACAUUGUUACUAAAUCUUGGGACUUGCUCAAUA
Molecule: RNA transcript, 1462 nt
Organism: Priapulus caudatus
Lineage: Eukaryota; Metazoa; Priapulida; Priapulimorpha; Priapulimorphida; Priapulidae
Exons: 3
Source: RefSeq, a predicted model, not a curated record